UACAUAGGGGGCAAGCGUUAUCCGGAAUUACUGGGUGUAAAGGGUGCGUAGGCGGUCAUAUAAGUCAGAUGUGAAAACCCAAGGCUUAACCAUGGGAAUGCAUUUGAAACUAUGUGACUAGAGUACAGGAGAGGUAAGUGGAAUUCCUAGUGUAGCGGUAAAAUGCGUAGAUAUUAGGAAGAACACCAGUGGCGAAGGCGACUUACUGGACUGAAACUGACGCUGAGGCACGAACGCGUUGGGAGCGAACAGG
Molecule: ribosomal RNA, 253 nt
Filed under: uncultured bacterium
Lineage: Bacteria
Description: partial 16S ribosomal RNA
Rfam family: Bacterial small subunit ribosomal RNA
Source: RNAcentral